RNAcentral lists this transfer RNA (73 nucleotides) under Zootermopsis nevadensis. It matches the Rfam family "tRNA". From Rfam's summary of the family: Transfer RNA (tRNA) molecules are approximately 80 nucleotides in length. Their secondary structure includes four short double-helical elements and three loops (D, anti-codon, and T loops). The record is from Rfam by way of RNAcentral. Lineage: Eukaryota; Metazoa; Arthropoda; Insecta; Blattodea; Termopsidae.
GUUGUUGUGGUCUAGCGGUUAGAACGCUGGCCUUGUAAUCCUGGGGUCUCGGGUUCGAUUCCCGGCGGUGCCC